UUGAUCCUGGCUCAGAUUGAACGCUGGCGGCAUGCCUUACACAUGCAAGUCGAACGGCAGCAUGAUCUAGCUUGCUAGAUUGAUGGCGAGUGGCGAACGGGUGAGUAAUACAUCGGAACGUGCCCUGUAGUGGGGGAUAACUAGUCGAAAGAUUAGCUAAUACCGCAUACGACCUGAGGGUGAAAGUGGGGGACCGCAAGGCCUCAUGCUAUAGGAGCGGCCGAUGUCUGAUUAGCUAGUUGGUGAGGUAAAGGCUCACCAAGGCGACGAUCAGUAGCUGGUCUGAGAGGACGAUCAGCCACACUGGGACUGAGACACGGCCCAGACUCCUACGGGAGGCAGCAGUGGGGAAUUUUGGACAAUGGGGGCAACCCUGAUCCAGCAAUGCCGCGUGUGUGAAGAAGGCCUUCGGGUUGUAAAGCACUUUUGUCCGGAAAGAAAUCGCACUUACUAAUAUUAGGUGUGGAUGACGGUACCGGAAGAAUAAGGACCGGCUAACUACGUGCCAGCAGCCGCGGUAAUACGUAGGGUCCAAGCGUUAAUCGGAAUUACUGGGCGUAAAAGCGUGCGCAGGCGGUUGUGCAAGACCGAUGUGAAAUCCCCCGGCUUAACCUGGGAAUUGCAUUGGUGACUGCACGGCCAGAGUGUGUCAGAGGGGGGUAGAAUUCCAUGUGUAGCAGUGAAAUGCGUAGAGAUGUGGAGNNAUACCGAUGNNNAGGCAGCCCCCUGGNNNACANUGACGCUCAUGCACGAAAGCGUGGGAGCAAACAGGAUUAGAUACCCUGGUAGUCCACGCCCUAAACGAUGUCAAACUAGUUGUUGGGGAUUCAUUUCCUUAGUAACGUAGCUAACGCGUGAAGUUGACCGCCUGGGGAGUACGGUCGCAAGAUUAAAACUCAAAGGAAUUGACGGGGACCCGCACAAGCGGUGGAUGAUGUGGAUUAAUUCGAUGCAACGCGAAAAACCUUACCUACCCUUGACAUGCCACUAACGAAGCAGAGAUGCAUUAGGUGCUCGAAAGAGAAAGUGGACACAGGUGCUGCAUGGCUGUCGUCAGCUCGUGUCGUGAGAUGUUGGGUUAAGUCCCGCGACGAGCGCAACCCUUGUCUCUAGUUGCUACGAAAGGGCACUCUAGAGAGACUGCCGGUGACAAACCGGAGGAAGGUGGGGAUGACGUCAAGUCCUCAUGGCCCUUAUGGGUAGGGCUUCACACGUCAUACAAUGGUGCAUACAGAGGGUUGCCAAGCCGCGAGGUGGAGCUAAUCCCAGAAAAUGCAUCGUAGUCCGGAUCGUAGUCUGCAACUCGACUACGUGAAGCUGGAAUCGCUAGUAAUCGCGGAUCAGCAUGCCGCGGUGAAUACGUUCCCGGGUCUUGUACACACCGCCCGUCACACCAUGGGAGUGGGUUUUGCCAGAAGUAGUUAGCCUAACCGCAAGGGG
RNAcentral lists this ribosomal RNA (1440 nucleotides) under uncultured Ralstonia sp. Its description in RNAcentral is "bacterial SSU rRNA". It matches the Rfam family "Bacterial small subunit ribosomal RNA". Lineage: Bacteria; Pseudomonadati; Pseudomonadota; Betaproteobacteria; Burkholderiales; Burkholderiaceae. The record is from RNAcentral.